This 425-nucleotide long non-coding RNA is filed under the name Rattus norvegicus (Norway rat). Its description in RNAcentral is "long non-coding RNA NONRATT006480". Lineage: Eukaryota; Metazoa; Chordata; Mammalia; Rodentia; Muridae. The record is from RNAcentral.
GCGCGCCUCCAAGCCACGUGACCCGCCCGCCUCAGGAGCGGCUCAGCGCUCGCUCUGCGGGUCUGGUUGACGUGGAGGGCCGGAGGCGUCGGCAGCCCGCGUCCGAGGCUCGCGGGCUGCGGGCCCGGAAAUGCACUUAGUGAUGGAAAGAGGGCCAUUGUUUUGAAGAACACCUGGCCGAAGGUCGGACAUCAAAUAGGAAUCCAAUUAAAGCUUUUUAUGAAAGCAGGGCUUACAUACCUAGAAACUCAUCAGCACCUGCUUUUAGAACAUCACUUAACUUUGUGGAAACAGAAAGAGGUUUCAGGAAAACUAAGUACAGAAUGGCAAAUGGCGGUGGCCAUCAGAAUCAAAAGGUGGCAGAUGAGGCUUUGAAGGGGGACGAUUGUGACUGUCAUCCUGAAUUUCUGCCACCUCCAAGUGAG